AACGAACGCUGGCGGCAUGCCUAACACAUGCAAGUCGAACGACACCUCCGGGUCUAGUCGCGCACGGGUGCGUAACGCGGGGGAACCUGCCUUUAGGUGCGGCAUAACUCAGAGGAAUUUGCGCUAAUACCGGAUGAUGUCUUCGGACCAAAGAUUUAUCGCGUUUGGAUGGGCCCGCGUUGGAUUAGCUAGUUGGCGGGGUAAAGGCCUACCAAGGGGAGGUUCCAUAGCUGGUCAGAGAGGCUGAUCAGCGACACUGGGGCUGAGACACGGCCCGGACUCCUACGGGAGGCAGCAGUGGCGAAUCUUGGACAAUGGGCGGAAGCAUGAUCCAGCAAUGCUGGGUGAGUGAUGAAGGCCUUAGGGUUGUCAAGCUCUUUUACCCGAGAUGGUAAUGACGGUACCGGGAGAAUAAGCUCCGGCUAACUCCGUG
RNAcentral lists this ribosomal RNA (433 nucleotides) under uncultured bacterium. RNAcentral describes it as "partial 16S ribosomal RNA". It matches the Rfam family "Bacterial small subunit ribosomal RNA", at positions 29 to 507 of the family's 1533-position model. The record is from RNAcentral.